This 608-nucleotide ribosomal RNA is filed under the name uncultured Alphaproteobacteria bacterium. RNAcentral's name for it is "bacterial SSU rRNA". It matches the Rfam family "Bacterial small subunit ribosomal RNA", at positions 26 to 675 of the family's 1533-position model. The record is from RNAcentral. Lineage: Bacteria; Pseudomonadati; Pseudomonadota; Alphaproteobacteria.
AAAACGAACGCUGGCGGCAGGGCUCAUUUUAACAAGUCGAACGCCCCUUCGGGGGAUUGGCACGACGGGUGAGUACAUCGAACUACCAGAGGUUCGGAAUAACUCAGAAACUUGAGCUAAUACGGAUAGCCUUACGAGGGAAAGAUUUAUCGCCUUUGGAUGGGCCCGCGGCAGAUUAGUUUGUUGGUGGGGUAAUGGCCUACCAAGACUACGAUCUGUAGCUGGUUUGAGAGGAUGAUCAGCCACACUGGGACUGAGACACGGCCCAGACUCCUACGGGAGGCCAGCAAGUAGGGAAUCUUGCACAAAUGGGCGAAAAGCCUGAUGCAGCCAUGCCGUCGUGAGUGAACAAGGCUCUAGGGGUUGUAAAACUCUUUCAAGGCGGGGGAAAGAUAAUGACGGUACCCGCAGAAGAAGCCCCAGGCUAACUCCUGUGCCAGACAGCCGCGGUAUACGGAGGGGGCUAGCGUUGUUCGGAAUUCACUGGGCGUAAAGCGCGCGUACGCGGAUUAGUAAAGUCAAGUGGUGAAAGCCCGGGGCUCAACCUCGGAACUGCCUUUGAUACUGCUAGUCUUGAGGUUCGAGAGAGGUGAGUGGAAUUUCUACUG